This is a long non-coding RNA of Lolium rigidum, 2599 nucleotides long. RefSeq lists it as uncharacterized. The transcript has 6 exons. The record is from RefSeq and is a predicted model, not a curated record. NCBI's taxonomy places the organism in Eukaryota, Viridiplantae, Streptophyta, Magnoliopsida, Poales, Poaceae.
GGACGCGGCGCUGCUCGCGGAGAUGCGCGGCAGGAUCGAGGAGGAAACCCGGAAGUUCGACGAGAAGAUCGCCGAUGCUGAAGAGAACUUGGGUGAGAGUGAAGUGCGGGAAGCCCAUCUAGCCAAAUCCUUGUAUUUCAUCAGAGUUGGGGAGAAGGAAAAGGCACUGGAGCAGCUUAAAAUUACUGAGGGAAAAACUGUAGCUGUUGGGCAAAAGAUGGACCUUGUUUUCUACGCUUUGCAGAUUGGCCUCUUCCGUAUGGACUUUGAUCUCAUCUCAAAGUCCAUCGACAAGGCCAAAAUCUUGUUUGAGGCGGGUGGUGACUGAGAGAGGAAGCAACGGCCGCCGCAGAUGUUCUACCUUGAUUCUCCCCCGAUACCUUUUGCCGAUCCGCCAUAAUCUGUGGCAAAGGUGGCUCCAUCGACAAGGAUCAGGCGAUUGAGUACAUGAAGCUGGCGGUCGAGAAGAACCCAAGGCCCGCAUCGAGGAGACCAAGAGCAAAUGGGAUGCGUUCAAGACUUCAAGCGGAUCAAGAAGAUUCGUGUGUUUGGAUGGGGCUUGCAGGUAAUAAAGGAUUCGGUAAUACAUGAUCAUAUAGGAGCAAUCGAUCCUGAGACGGCAGCGGCGGCAGCAGCACCCAUGCAAGUUCAGCAGGCAGCCAGGCACAGCCAGCUGAUGGCACCAUCACCCCUGCAGAUUUUGUUUUUACAUUCAUCUGUAACAUAAGGCCCGGACAUGAAAUGGCUUUUCUUUUCCAACAGUUGCCAAAACAACCUAGAGCCAAUCAGGAUUAGGAGUCUAGGACGGCAUAUUCAGUUCAGAUAUUAUUAAUCCUUCGUUACUGGUACAACUGAUAUGUAAUAUUGGCUUGCAAAGACUUGCUUCAGGGUUAAAGAUAUUGACGGGUACCUUAUUUCAGGACAAUGAAAAUCCUAAAUCUGGGUGCUAUCUGGUAAAUCAUACAUGGUCUACUCAAGGUCAGUCUCGUUACUACUUUAUUAUCACAACUUCAACACUAAAGAUUAGCAACCUCACUUGACCUUAUUAAAUAAAUAUCUAGCAGUUAAUUUUUUUGAAGGCUCUCUGUUUCAGUUAUAGUUACUUAACUAUCAAUAUUUUACUUAUGGGUAUCACAGAGAAGCUUGGAUCCAAUUCCUACACUAUGAGAAGCUAUUUCUAUUGAUGGCAAAGGAAAGUAUGUACCUUUUGGAAGUACAAAAUAAUCUCAAGAUCUCACCUUUUUUCCUUUUCUUUUGCUAUAUGUAGAGAUUACAAGGUACUUCUCCAAGGUGAGUAGCAAACAUGUCUUCUGGCUUCUUGAUCCCAAACCUUGCACAAGUGUAAUGAAGCAUAACUCUGGUCUAAUGGCUCACCUUAAUCUCCCUGUUGGUCUGAACUGGCAUAGCAUUCUGAUUGAUUGAAGAUGCACAAUAAGUUUUGAUGCCAAGCUAUUUCUCGUACUGCAAAGGUUCCGCAUCAUCACACCAAACCUGUAGGAAUCACCAGCCUUCCCUGAGCGUCGCCGUUGACCACGUCUGAGUUGUCACACCUCCAACUUCCGCGGCAAUGACAUGUUUGUAGUAUCCGGGAUAUACAUCACAGUGUUUGAAUGCGGUAAGUAACAUCCUCUUUUCGUUCUGUUAUCUAUGAACUACUUGACAACACUUUUGGUUGAUUGCGCCCCUGGCUUCCUCCAGCAAUGAUAAAUGGAUCUUGGUCAUCAGCGAUUGGCUCGGCAGAUCAUGGCCAAAAUUGAUUUUAUCCUUAGCCUGCUUUUGAAGAACCACCCCACUAUAUGUUACAUUAUUAUGGGAAUUUGGAUUAUCAUGUGUUUCUUAAACAGGCUAACCUAAUCUAUUAUGUACAAAUGUUUAUCUCUCAACAAUAAUUUGUUUGUAUACAUGAGAGAUAUUUGUUGUGUGGUAUGGUAUUCGCAGCACUAAAAUACUUAUGGUUCUUUUAUUUCCAAAGAAAAGGGCACUUGAGGUAAUUUGUAUUUGUAGGAGUGGAGGUGUGGGGGCAUGCAAGCAAGAAUAAGAAACAUCACACUAUAUUACCCGUUCAAGUUCAUAUUUAAUCGCCAAAGCUUAGGUUUUCUUAAACCUACAUGAAACGAUAUGUGUAUAAUAUUUUUAUAUAACAAGGUACUGAUACAAUUGGAUCUCUUCACAUGAUGAAAUGGAGAUGCCAAACCAAUUUUUUUACAUAACUAAUAAACGGGUACUGCAAUAUAGCUGUUACAGAUGCCGCAAAAGGUCUAUUCGCAAACAUGUAAAUCUGAAGGCACGUUUCCAAAUGUGAUAACUUAUACCAUUCUAAUUGGGAGCCUGUUUGAAGGAGAUAAUAUGUGACCAAAGUUGCUGUAUAUUCUGAACACAUGUUGCUUAGUGAGUAAUUUCCUUGCAUGGGGCUUACUGGUUGAUAAAUAUGUGCAGAUUAUCUUGACGACUGGUCAAAGGCUUUGUGGAAGCAAUUUCUUAUCCAUGAAUAUAAUAUAUUUGGUUGUCAAUAUAUAGCCCUAAUCUGAUUGCUUGUUGUUAUACGCAGUAUCACCUUUUCUUGUCUUCUUUUGAUUAUUGGGUAUGUCACAUUUGUGCA